GCGCGAAAACUUUACAAUGCCGGCAACAGCGAUAAGGGGACCUCGAGUGCCAGGUUACAAAUCUGGCUGUCGAGAUGCCUAAAAAGCAUUUCAUAGCAAGGGCCGGGCAAGACCGGUGCCAGCCGCCGCGGUAACACCGGCGGCUCGAGUGGUAACCGUUAUUAUUGGGUCUAAAGGGUCUGUAGCCGGCCGGAUAAGUCUCUUGGGAAAUCUGGCAGCUCAACUGUCGGGCUUUCAGGAGAUACUGUCUGGCUCGAGGCCGGGAGAGGGGAGAGGUACUUCAGGGGUAGGGGUGAAAUCUUGUAAUCCUUGAAGGACCACCAGUGGCGAAGGCGUCUCACCAGAACGGACCUGACGGCAAGGGACGAAAGGUAGGGGCACGAACCG
Molecule: ribosomal RNA, 387 nt
Filed under: uncultured bacterium
Lineage: Bacteria
Description: bacterial SSU rRNA
Rfam family: Archaeal small subunit ribosomal RNA
Source: RNAcentral